RNAcentral lists this transfer RNA (85 nucleotides) under Rytigynia longicaudata. RNAcentral describes it as "transfer RNA-Leu (UAA)". It matches the Rfam family "tRNA". Rfam says of the family: Transfer RNA (tRNA) molecules are approximately 80 nucleotides in length. Their secondary structure includes four short double-helical elements and three loops (D, anti-codon, and T loops). The record is from RNAcentral. Lineage: Eukaryota; Viridiplantae; Streptophyta; Magnoliopsida; Gentianales; Rubiaceae.
GGGGGUAUGGCGAAAUCGGUAGACGCUACGGACUUGAGGAAAAUCCGUCGACUUUAAAAAUCGUGAGGGUUCAAGUCCCUCUAUC